Molecule: transfer RNA, 72 nt
Filed under: Camelus ferus (Wild Bactrian camel)
Lineage: Eukaryota; Metazoa; Chordata; Mammalia; Artiodactyla; Camelidae
Rfam family: tRNA
About the family: Transfer RNA (tRNA) molecules are approximately 80 nucleotides in length. Their secondary structure includes four short double-helical elements and three loops (D, anti-codon, and T loops).
Source: Rfam by way of RNAcentral
GGGGAAGUAGCUCAGUGGUAAUGUGUGUGCUUAGCAUGCAGGAAGUCCUGGGUUCAAUCCCCAGUACCCCCA